AUAUCCCUAGCUCUGCAACUAAACUUCUCCGUCAUACUUAUAGUUUUAAACCCUUUAUUUGUUUCUUUCUUAAACCCUUUACUCGAUUCUUUCUUCACCUCCUUCUUCUCUCCGGCUGCAGGGGUCGCCGAAUCAGCCUCAGCCUCCUUUACCGCGGUAGAUUGCCCCUUGGGCGCGACCUUCUUUGCUUCCAAUUCAUCCUUAGCAGGUCCACCCU
Molecule: unclassified non-coding RNA, 217 nt
Filed under: Hevea brasiliensis (rubber tree)
Lineage: Eukaryota; Viridiplantae; Streptophyta; Magnoliopsida; Malpighiales; Euphorbiaceae
Source: RNAcentral